UACGUAGGGUGCGAGCGUUAAUCGGAAUUACUGGGCGUAAAGCGUGCGCAGGCGGCUUUGUAAGCCAGAUGUGAAAUCCCCGGGCUCAACCUGGGAAUGGCAUUUGGGACUGCAAGGCUGGAGUUUGGCAGAGGAGACUGGAAUUCCUGGUGUAGCCGUGAAAUGCGUAGAUAUCAGGAGGAAUACCGAUGGCGAAGGCAGGUCUCUGGGCUAUAACUGACGCUCAUGCACGAAAGCGUGGGGAGCAAACAGG
RNAcentral lists this ribosomal RNA (253 nucleotides) under uncultured bacterium. Its description in RNAcentral is "partial 16S ribosomal RNA". It matches the Rfam family "Bacterial small subunit ribosomal RNA", at positions 524 to 776 of the family's 1533-position model. The record is from RNAcentral.